Molecule: ribosomal RNA, 254 nt
Filed under: uncultured bacterium
Lineage: Bacteria
Description: partial 16S ribosomal RNA
Rfam family: Bacterial small subunit ribosomal RNA
Source: RNAcentral
UACGUAGGGUGCAAGCGUUGUCCAGAAUUAUUGGGCGUAAAGAGCUCGUAGGCGGUGUGUCGCGUCGGCCGUGAAAACCUGCAGCUUAACUGUGGGCUUGCGGUCGAUACGGGCAUCACUGGAGUUCGGCAGGGGAGACUGGAAUUCCUGGUGUAGCGGUGAAAUGCGCAGAUAUCAGGAGGAACACCGGUGGCGAAGGCGGGUCUCUGGGCCGAUACUGACGCUGAGGAGCGAAAGCGUGGGGAGCGAACAGG